This is an unclassified non-coding RNA of Otolemur garnettii (small-eared galago), 102 nucleotides long. It matches the Rfam family "Y RNA". Rfam says of the family: Y RNAs are components of the Ro ribonucleoprotein particle (Ro RNP), in association with Ro60 and La proteins. The Y RNAs and Ro60 and La proteins are well conserved, but the function of the Ro RNP is not known. NCBI's taxonomy places the organism in Eukaryota, Metazoa, Chordata, Mammalia, Primates, Galagidae. The record is from Ensembl.
GGUUGGUCCAAGCCCAGUGGUGUUUACAGCUAACUGAUCUCAACCAGCUAUAGACUCCUUUGUUCCUUCUCUACUCCUACUGGUUCACUUGAGUAGCCUUAA